GCGACCGUGGUGUAACGGUUAACACUGCAGGUUGUGGUCCUGCCAAUUCGGGUUCGAUUCCCGGCGGUCGCCCCA
This 75-nucleotide transfer RNA is filed under the name Patescibacteria group bacterium. Its description in RNAcentral is "tRNA-His". It matches the Rfam family "tRNA". Rfam says of the family: Transfer RNA (tRNA) molecules are approximately 80 nucleotides in length. The record is from RNAcentral.